UUUCCGUAGGUGAACCUGCGGAAGGAUCAUUAAAAAAUUGGACUCCAUUGGUGAGUUCAUUAAUAAUCCCUACCCUUUGUGAAUUUGUUUGUUUGAAUAAUUUUUUUUCCAAAAAAAAUUAUUGAAUGUCUUUCCUUGUUUUGGUGGAGCUUGUAAAGUGAAACCAGGCAGGGGAAUGGCAAACAAUAAUUAUUUUGAAAAAGACCUUUUUUUAAAAUUAAACUUUUUGUAUUCAUUUGUCUAAAAUUAAUUUUUAUAAUAUAAAAACAACUUUUGACAAUGGAUCUCUUGGUUCUCGCAACGAUGAAGAACGCAGCAAAAUGCGAUAAGUAGUGUGAAUUGCAGAAUACGUGAAUCAUCGAAUCUUCGAACGCAUAUUGCACUUUUUUAGUUUACUAAAAAAGUAUGUCUGUUUGAGUAUCAGUAAAAUAUUCUCAUAAAAAACAUUGUUUUUUUUAUGGUUAUGAGUGUUUUACAACGAUAACAAGUUGUUUCACUUUAAAUUCUUUGUUAUCAAAAAAAUCAUUAAAAGCUAAUUUUAAAGAUUUUUUAAAAUUGGAUAAAAUUUUCCCGUAAAAAGGAAUAACCUAAACAAUUUUAAAAAAUUAAAAUUGGUUUGAUUUUUUUUGAAACCCAAAGGAAAAAAAAAACGAAAUUAACUUGAUCUCAAAUCAGAUAAGAGUACCGCUGAACUUAAGCAUAUCAAUAAGCGGAGGAAAAGAAACUAACUAGGAUUCCCUCAGUAACGGCGAGUGAAGCGGGAAGAGCUCAAAUUUGAAAUCUUCAAGGUUUUACCUUGACGAAUUGUAGUUUAAAGAAGUGUUUUCUGUUGGAGUUUUGGUAAAAGUUCUUUGGAAAAGGACAUCAUAGAGGGUGAGAAUCCCGUAUUUGACCAUUAUCUCCAGCUUUGUGAUACACUUUCAAAGAGUCGGAUUGUUUGGGAAUGCAGUCCAAAAUGGGUGGUAAAUUUCAUCUAAAGCUAAAUACUGGCGAGAGACCGAUAGCGAACAAGUACCGUGAGGGAAAGAUGAAAAGAACUUUGAAAAGAGAGUUAAACAGUACGUGAAAUUGUCAAAAGGGAAGCGUUUGACACCAGUGUUGUUUUCUCGAAAAUCAAUUAAAAAAGGCCGGAUUUGUGUUGUAUUGACUUUAUCAGCUUUCUGCACUCUUUUCUUGUCUUUUUUAAUGCACUUUUCGUUUAACAAGUCAACAUCAAUUUCCUCUGUUGUAAAAGGGUCAUUGGAAGGUGGCUUUCUUUUCGGAGAAAGUGUUUAUAGCCUUUGGCCUCUGCAAUCGGAGAGAUUGAGGUCUGCAGCGUAGAUCCUUCGGGUUAGAUACAUUUGUGCUAAGUUAUAGCCUUUCAUAGACAACUUGUUGACUAUGAUCAGUCAUGUAGCUUACUCGCUUAUGCUAUUUUACCUACGCUUAGGAUGUUG
Molecule: unclassified non-coding RNA, 1436 nt
Filed under: uncultured Neocallimastigales
Lineage: Eukaryota; Fungi; Neocallimastigomycota; Neocallimastigomycetes; Neocallimastigales
Description: partial contains small subunit ribosomal RNA, internal transcribed spacer 1, 5.8S ribosomal RNA, internal transcribed spacer 2, and large subunit ribosomal RNA
Rfam family: Eukaryotic large subunit ribosomal RNA (bases 662-1436)
Source: RNAcentral